CAGCCGCCGCGGUAAUACGGAGGAUCCAAGCGUUAUCCGGAAUCAUUGGGUUUAAAGGGUCCGUAGGCGGUCUUGUAAGUCAGUGGUGAAAGCCCAUCGCUCAACGGUGGAACGGCCAUUGAUACUGCAGGACUUGAAUUAUUGGGAAGUAACUAGAAUAUGUAGUGUAGCGGUGAAAUGCUUAGAGAUUACAUGGAAUACCAAUUGCGAAGGCAGGUUACUACCAAUUGAUUGACGCUGAUGGACGAAAGCGUGGGUAGCGAACAGGAUUAGAGACCCGUGUAGUCCCUGUCUCUUAUAA
Molecule: ribosomal RNA, 301 nt
Filed under: uncultured bacterium
Lineage: Bacteria
Description: partial 16S ribosomal RNA
Rfam family: Bacterial small subunit ribosomal RNA
Source: RNAcentral